This 73-nucleotide transfer RNA is filed under the name Candidatus Pinguicoccus supinus. It matches the Rfam family "tRNA". Rfam says of the family: Transfer RNA (tRNA) molecules are approximately 80 nucleotides in length. Their secondary structure includes four short double-helical elements and three loops (D, anti-codon, and T loops). Further hydrogen bonds mediate the characteristic L-shaped molecular structure. tRNAs have two regions of fundamental functional importance: the anti-codon, which is responsible for specific mRNA codon recognition, and the 3' end, to which the tRNAs corresponding amino acid is attached (by aminoacyl-tRNA synthetases). tRNAs cope with the degeneracy of the genetic code in two manners: having more than one tRNA (with a specific anti-codon) for a particular amino acid; and 'wobble' base-pairing, i.e. permitting non-standard base-pairing at the 3rd anti-codon position. Lineage: Bacteria; Pseudomonadati; Verrucomicrobiota. The record is from Rfam by way of RNAcentral.
GCCUUAGUAACUUAAUUGGUAAAGUUUGUUCUUGGUAAGAACAAAGUUGAUGGUUCAAUUCCAUUCUAAGGCU